Molecule: ribosomal RNA, 567 nt
Filed under: Trichoderma cf. harzianum ROG-2010
Lineage: Eukaryota; Fungi; Ascomycota; Sordariomycetes; Hypocreales; Hypocreaceae
Description: eukaryotic LSU rRNA
Rfam family: 5.8S ribosomal RNA (bases 216-369)
Source: RNAcentral
GGAGGGAUCAUUACCGAGUUUACAACUCCCAAACCCAAUGUGAACGUUACCAAACUGUUGCCUCGGCGGGAUCUCUGCCCCGGGUGCGUCGCAGCCCCGGACCAAGGCGCCCGCCGGAGGACCAACCAAAACUCUUAUUGUAUACCCCCUCGCGGGUUUUUUUUAUAAUCUGAGCCUUCUCGGCGCCUCUCGUAGGCGUUUCGAAAAUGAAUCAAAACUUUCAACAACGGAUCUCUUGGUUCUGGCAUCGAUGAAGAACGCAGCGAAAUGCGAUAAGUAAUGUGAAUUGCAGAAUUCAGUGAAUCAUCGAAUCUUUGAACGCACAUUGCGCCCGCCAGUAUUCUGGCGGGCAUGCCUGUCCGAGCGUCAUUUCAACCCUCGAACCCCUCCGGGGGGUCGGCGUUGGGGAUCGGCCCUCCCUUAGCGGGUGGCCGUCUCCGAAAUACAGUGGCGGUCUCGCCGCAGCCUCUCCUGCGCAGUAGUUUGCACACUCGCAUCGGGAGCGCGGCGCGUCCACAGCCGUUAAACACCCAACUUCUGAAAUGUUGACCUCGGAUCAGGUAGGAA